AGAACGAACGCUGGCGGCAUGCCUAACACAUGCAAGUCGAACGGGACCUUCGGGUCUAGUGGCGCACGGGUGCGUAACGCGUGGGGAUCUGCCCUUAGGUACGGAAUAACUCAGGGAAACUUGAGCUAAUACCGUAUAAUGACUUCGGUCCAAAGAUUUAUCGCCUAGGGAUGAACCCGCGUAGGAUUAGCUUGUUGGUGAGGUAAAGGCUCACCAAGGCGACGAUCCUUAGCUGGUCUGAGAGGAUGAUCAGCCACACUGGGACUGAGACACGGCCAGACUCCUACGGGAG
Molecule: ribosomal RNA, 292 nt
Filed under: uncultured soil bacterium
Lineage: Bacteria
Description: partial 16S ribosomal RNA
Rfam family: Bacterial small subunit ribosomal RNA
Source: RNAcentral